Molecule: ribosomal RNA, 784 nt
Filed under: uncultured Neocallimastigales
Lineage: Eukaryota; Fungi; Neocallimastigomycota; Neocallimastigomycetes; Neocallimastigales
Description: partial large subunit ribosomal RNA
Rfam family: Eukaryotic large subunit ribosomal RNA
Source: RNAcentral
UCAGACGAUGCGUCAUGCAUAUCAAUAAGCGGAGGAAAAGAAACUAACAAGGAUUCCCUUAGUAACGGCGAGUGUAGCGGGAAGAGCUCAAAUUUGAAAUUCUUCAAGGUUUUACCUUGACGAAUUGUAGUUUAAAGAAGUGUUUUCUGUUGAAGUUUUGGUAAAAGUUCUUUGGAAUAGGACAUCAUAGAGGGUGAGAAUCCCGUAUUUGACCUUUACUUUCAACUUUGUGAUACACUUUCAAAGAGUCGGAUUGUUUGGGAAUGCAGUCCAAAAUGGGUGGUAAAUUUCAUCUAAAGCUAAAUAUUGGCGAGAGACCGAUAGCGAACAAGUACCGUGAGGGAAAGAUGAAAAGAACUUUGAAAAGAGAGUUAAACAGUACGUGAAAUUGUCAAAAGGGAAGCGUUUGACACCAGUGUUGUUUUUCUGAAAAUCAAUUAAAGAACUGUUUAUGCUAAGCUGUUUAGACUUUAUCAGCUAUCUGUUUAGUUUUGAGCUUUUCUUUCUUUAAUGCACUUUUCAGUUAACAAGUCAACAUCAAUUUCUUUUUGCUGUAAAAAAGCUUGAGGAAGGUGGCUUGAGAUUCGUCUUAAGUGUUUAUAUAGCCUCUUGCCUAUGCAGUCGGAGAGAUUGAGGUCUGCAGCGUAGAUCCUUCGGGGCUAAAUGCAUUUGUGCUAAGUUAUAGCAUUUUAUAUAGACAACUUGUUGACUAUGAUUUGUCUUGUAGCUUACUCGCUUAUGUUAUUUUACCUACGCUUAGGAUGUUGAUCUACAGAGCGAGAGU